AGUACCAAAUCAAAACUUUCAACAACGGAUCUCUUGGUUCUGGCAUCGAUGAAGAACGCAGCGAAAUGCGAUAAGUAAUGUGAAUUGCAGAAUUCAGUGAAUCAUCGAAUCUUUGAACGCACAUUGCGCCCGCCAGUAUUCUGGCGGGCAUGCCUG
This 156-nucleotide ribosomal RNA is filed under the name Calonectria reteaudii. Its description in RNAcentral is "5.8S ribosomal RNA". It matches the Rfam family "5.8S ribosomal RNA". Rfam says of the family: 5.8S ribosomal RNA (5.8S rRNA) is a component of the large subunit of the eukaryotic ribosome. It is transcribed by RNA polymerase I as part of the 45S precursor that also contains 18S and 28S rRNA. The record is from RNAcentral. Lineage: Eukaryota; Fungi; Ascomycota; Sordariomycetes; Hypocreales; Nectriaceae.